This 468-nucleotide ribosomal RNA is filed under the name uncultured bacterium. Its description in RNAcentral is "partial 16S ribosomal RNA". It matches the Rfam family "Bacterial small subunit ribosomal RNA", at positions 28 to 507 of the family's 1533-position model. The record is from RNAcentral.
GACGAACGCUGGCGGCGUACUUAACACAUGCAAGUCGAACGGAAAGGCCCUGCUUUUGUGGGGUGCUCGAGUGGCGAACGGGUGAGUAACACGUGAGUAACCUGCCCUUGACUUUGGGAUAACUUCAGGAAACUGGGGCUAAUACCGGAUAGGAGCUCCUGCUGCAUUGUGGGGGUUGGAAAUUUUCGGCGGUUGGGGAUGGACUCGCGGCUUAUCAGCUUGUUGGUGGGGUAGUGGCUUACCAAGGCUUUGACGGGUAGCCGGCCUGAGAGGGUGAACGGCGACAUUGGGACUGAGAUACGGCCCAGAGUCCUACGGGAGGCAGCAGUGGGGAAUAUGGCACAAUGGGAGGAAGCCUGAUGAAGCAACGCUGCGUGCGGGAUGACGGCCUUCGGGUUGUAAACCGCUUUCGCCUGUGACGAAGCGUGAGUGACGGUAAUGGGUAAAGAAGCACCGGCUAACUACGUG